AUUCUACUCCCUCCAUUGCACAAUACAUGCCUUCUAUUUGUCAAAAUAUAUAUGUAUCUAGACAUGCCUUAGUACAUAGGUACAUCCACUUUUGGACAAAUGGAAGUCAAGUAUUUUGGAACGGAGGGAGUACACU
This is a non-coding RNA of Triticum urartu, 136 nucleotides long. Lineage: Eukaryota; Viridiplantae; Streptophyta; Magnoliopsida; Poales; Poaceae. The record is from Rfam.